ACAAGCGGUGGAGCAUGUGGUUAAUUCGACGCAACGCGAAGAACCUUACCUGGGCUUGACAUCCCGAUCGCACCUUAUGGAAACAUAGGGGUCAGUUCGGCUGGAUCGGUGACAGGUGCUGCAUGGCUGUCGUCAGCUCGUGUCGUGAGAUGUUGGGUUAAGUCCCGCAACGAGCGCAACCCUUGUCCUUAGUUGCCAGCAUUCAGUUGGGCACUCUAAGGAGACUGCCGGUGUCAAACCGGAGGAAGGUGGGGAUGACGUCAAGUCCUCAUGGCCCUUAUGUCCAGGGCUACACACGUGCUACAAUGGCCGGUACAAAGGGGCGCAAGACCGCGAGGUGGAGCAAAUCCCAAAAAACCGGUCUCAGUUCGGAUUGGAGUCUGCAACUCGACUCCAUGAAGUUGGAAUCGCUAGUAAUCGCGGAUCAGCACGCCGCGGUGAAUACGUUCCCGGGCCUU
Molecule: ribosomal RNA, 458 nt
Filed under: uncultured Geothermobacter sp.
Lineage: Bacteria; Pseudomonadati; Thermodesulfobacteriota; Desulfuromonadia; Desulfuromonadales; Geothermobacteraceae
Description: bacterial SSU rRNA
Rfam family: Bacterial small subunit ribosomal RNA
Source: RNAcentral